ACUUUGUGUUUGACAUCCCUUUUUUCCCCGGGGGUCUUAAUUACCACUGCUUAGCUUUCAAUUCGCCUCUGACCAUCAAAUUAAAUGUGAAUAACCUGUCC
Long non-coding RNA from Brachypodium distachyon (stiff brome), 101 nucleotides. RefSeq lists it as uncharacterized. The record is from RefSeq and is a predicted model, not a curated record. NCBI's taxonomy places the organism in Eukaryota, Viridiplantae, Streptophyta, Magnoliopsida, Poales, Poaceae. The transcript has 3 exons.